AUUGAACGCUGGCGGCAUGCCUUACACAUGCAAGUCGAACGGCAGCAUGGGUGCUUGCACCUGAUGGCGAGUGGCGAACGGGUGAGUAAUGCAUCGGAACGUACCCGGAAGUGGGGGAUAACGUAGCGAAAGUUACGCUAAUACCGCAUAUUCUGUGAGCAGGAAAGAGGGGGAUCGCAAGACCUCUCGCUUUCGGAGCGGCCGAUGUCAGAUUAGCUAGUUGGUAGGGUAAAAGCCUACCAAGGCGACGAUCUGUAGCGGGUCUGAGAGGAUGAUCCGCCACACUGGGACUGAGACACGGCCCAGACUCCUACGGGAGGCAG
Molecule: ribosomal RNA, 323 nt
Filed under: uncultured Pseudomonadota bacterium
Lineage: Bacteria; Pseudomonadati; Pseudomonadota
Description: bacterial SSU rRNA
Rfam family: Bacterial small subunit ribosomal RNA
Source: RNAcentral